This 495-nucleotide long non-coding RNA is filed under the name Vulpes vulpes (red fox). Its description in RNAcentral is "lncRNA (ENSVVUG00000021260.1)". The record is from RNAcentral. Lineage: Eukaryota; Metazoa; Chordata; Mammalia; Carnivora; Canidae.
AAAGAAUGCCAUAUACUGUUAUUUGGCAUUUUUGAUUCUUUCACUUGAUUUACUUAUCUUUUUUUUUUUUCUCCAGGGUAGACCAGGCUGUGGUUCUCCUUAAUAGGUGGACAUUUACAAAGUAAUUUUGACGUACAUGGUCUACUUUUUAAAAACUUCCAGGGAAUGGCCAGGGGUGAUGUUGCCAUCUUCAAUAAGCAACUAAUGAACUCGCUCGGUCCUUAUGUCUACCUCUGGAUUAACAUGAGACCCAGAAACUGGACCCAGCAAUUGUUCUCAAAUUCAACACAAAACUCCCCAAUUCAUCUCUACUGUAUAUCCCUGCCUUUCUAGAACAUCAUCUUCUUGAUGGAUCUGGACAGACCUAUUUGAAGGCCUUAAUGAAUCAUCGUCUUUUAUAUUUGUGCCCACAUCCUCUUCAUUGAGACUUCACAUUGUGAGAUGGCUUAGACACAUAAAAGGUAAAGAGGGAUCCAGUGAGCAUAUUUUUAUAUC